RNAcentral lists this ribosomal RNA (766 nucleotides) under uncultured Planctomycetota bacterium. RNAcentral's name for it is "bacterial SSU rRNA". It matches the Rfam family "Bacterial small subunit ribosomal RNA", at positions 565 to 1323 of the family's 1533-position model. The record is from RNAcentral. Lineage: Bacteria; Pseudomonadati; Planctomycetota.
GGGUGCGCAGGCGGACUGCAAGUAUCUCGUGAAAUACCACGGCUCAACCGUGGAAUUGCGGGGUAGACUGCAGGUCUUGAGCCCGGCAGGGGCCGUCGGAACUCUAGGUGGAGCGGUGAAAUGCGUAGAUAUCUAGAGGAACGCCAAAGGUGAAGACAGACGGCUGGGCCGGUGCUGACGCUCAGGCACGAAAGCGUGGGGAGCGAACGGGAUUAGAUACCCCGGUAGUCCACGCCCUAAACGAUGUGUACUAGGUCGAGGAGCUCUUGACGGGCAUCUCGGCCGAAGCCAAAGUGUUAAGUACACCGCCUGGGGAGUACGGUCGCAAGGCUAAAACUCAAAGGAGUUGACGGGGGCUCACACAAGCGGUGGAGCAUGUGGCUUAAUUCGAAGCAACGCGAAGAACCUUAUCCAGGGUUUGACAUGCACGGAUUAGUCAUCCGGAAGGAUGUACGACGCCUUUUAGGUGGAACGUGCACAGGUGCUGCAUGGCUGUCGUCAGCUCGUGCUGUGAAGUGUCGGGUUAAGUCCCUUAACGAGCGAAACCCCUGCCGUUAGUUGCUAACAGGUCAAGCUGAGGACUCUAACGGGACCGCCGGUGUCAAACCGGAGGAAGGUGGGGAUGACGUCAAGCCCUCAUGGCCUUUAUGCCCUGGGCUGCACACGUGCUACAAUGCCAACGACAGAGCGAAGCGAUACCGCAAGGUGGAGCAAAUCGCAAAAACGUUGGCCCAGUUCGGAUUGUGGUCUGCACUCGACCACAUGA